CCUACGGGGUGCAGCAGUGGGGAAUAUUGCACAAUGGGGGAAACCCUGAUGCAGCAACGCCGCGUGAGUGAAGAAGUCUUUCGGUAUGUAAAGCUCUAUCAGCAGGGAAGAAGAUGACGGUACCUGAUUAAGAAUCCCCGGCUAACUACGUGCCAGCAGCCGCGGUAAUACGUAGGGGGCAAGCGUUGUCCGGAAUUACUGGGUGUAAAGGGAGCGUAGACGGUGAUGUAAGUCUGGAGUGAAAGGCGGGGGCCCAACCCCCGGACUGCUCUGGAAACUAUGUGACUGGAGUGCAGGAGAGGUGAGCGGAAUUCCUAGUGUAGCGGUGAAAUGCGUAGAUAUUAGGAGGAACACCAGUGGCGAAGGCGGCUAACUGGACUGUAACUGACGUUGAGGCGCGAAAGCGUGGGGAGCAAACAGGAUUAGAUACCCCGGUAGUC
Molecule: ribosomal RNA, 440 nt
Filed under: uncultured bacterium
Lineage: Bacteria
Description: partial 16S ribosomal RNA
Rfam family: Bacterial small subunit ribosomal RNA
Source: RNAcentral